This 254-nucleotide ribosomal RNA is filed under the name uncultured bacterium. Its description in RNAcentral is "partial 16S ribosomal RNA". It matches the Rfam family "Bacterial small subunit ribosomal RNA", at positions 524 to 776 of the family's 1533-position model. The record is from RNAcentral.
UACAGAGGGGGCAAGCGUUGUUCGGAAUUACUGGGCGUAAAGGGCGCGUAGGCGGCCUGCUAAGUCGAACGUGAAAUCCCUGGGCUCAACCCAGGAACUGCGUCCGAUACUGGUUGGCUUGAAUCCGGGAGAGGGAUGUGGAAUUCCAGGUGUAGCGGUGAAAUGCGUAGAUAUCGAGAGGAACACCUGCGGCGAAGGCGGGUUGCUGGGCUGACACUGACGCUGACAGCGCGAAAGCUAGGGGAGCGAACGGG